RNAcentral lists this ribosomal RNA (253 nucleotides) under uncultured bacterium. Its description in RNAcentral is "partial 16S ribosomal RNA". It matches the Rfam family "Bacterial small subunit ribosomal RNA", at positions 524 to 776 of the family's 1533-position model. The record is from RNAcentral.
UACGUAGGGGGCAAGCGUUGUCCGGAUUUAUUGGGCGUAAAGAGCGUGUAGGCGGCUAGGUAGGUCCGUUGUGAAAACUCGAGGCUCAACCUCGAGACGCCGAUGGAAACCAUCUGGCUAGAGUCCGGAAGAGGCGAGUGGAAUUCCUGGUGUAGCGGUGGAAUGCGCAGAUAUCAGGAGGAACACCGAUGGCGAAGGCGGGUCUCUGGGCCGAUACUGACGCUGAGGAGCGAAAGCGUGGGGAGCGAACAGG